Long non-coding RNA from Pipra filicauda (Wire-tailed manakin), 2390 nucleotides. RefSeq lists it as uncharacterized. The record is from RefSeq and is a predicted model, not a curated record. The transcript is spliced from 5 exons. NCBI's taxonomy places the organism in Eukaryota, Metazoa, Chordata, Aves, Passeriformes, Pipridae.
CCACUUGAUCUCCUCACAAUUACCCCCCUGUACCAGCCUCUCGUGGGAGAACUGCCCGGCUGCAGGAGGGCAGGUCCUGUGAGCUGCAGUGACCCUGUCCUCAGUAAGAGGGCUGGUGCUGGGCAAAGCCCAGAGCCCCUUUGGGGGGGCUCAGGUGGGCACCGUGUGUGCCUGUUGCCCUGUUUUGCAGCAGUGUUGGUGCCAUGCCAUUGAGCAGCAGUGUGUGGAAUGAUGUUCCUGCUCUGCUGAGACUGGUCCCUUCCAUGCCCAGCCAGCCCCAGUGAGCUCUUGGCCUUUGCUGUUGCUUCUGGACUCUGCCACAACAGUCCACAGACCUCCUCUGUUUCAAAGGGUUUCACACCUCGGAGCUGCCCAGAGCUGCCUCUCCACGACUCCUCUCAAACCCACACUACAGGCAAGAGCUGCGCUGGUUAAAUCCAAAGCAAGGCAAGAGCUGUGCCCACUCCUGCAUGGAGUGGAGGCACGUGAUUUCCUGGAGAACCCAAGGCUACCCUAACUAAUUGAGCUCCCUUGCCAUGUUCUCUCAAAGCACUUAAUGCCACUAUGGCCCUUUUGUGCUGUGCAAAUGCCAGCCCAGGAGCCGUGGAGUUCUGAUGAAGCUCCUCACCCACACCAUCCGGGGGGUGCAGGCUGUGCUGAGCUGUGCUUCUUCCCUCCCUCAGGAGCAGGUGGGCUGUUCCUUCACAAAACCAAGCUUCCCAGGGUGAUUGGAUUCCGAGGGUGACUCCUUGGCUGCGGGGAUUUAACCCGUGGGUGUGUGUAGCUGUUGCUGCCAUGCAGGGCUCCAGCGUGGUCCUUCUGCCUGCAGAAACCCGGCCACCACCAGAGAAUCACAGAAUAUCCUCCAGUGCGGGGCACGGGCAGGCUGCGGGUGCCCCGAUACCCAGAAUCCGGGGCCGGCGAUGCUCCCGCACCCCUGUGCCUGCUCUCUGUGCCCGCCCUGCGCUCACACUGGGGCAGGACCGCCCCAGCACUCCUUAAAACCCACAAGGGGAGUUGUGAAACAGGAAUUCUGGUUUGUAUUGUAAUACAACACCGGUCUAUCAGCAGCACCAUCACCUGCUGUAAUCUCCUGAGCAUCUGCCACCGGGGGGUGACUCACCUGCAGGGCUGCUGUCACCAAAUAGCUUAUCAGAAGUGAACUGACUGAUUUUUCCUGCUCCUCCUGAUGAUAAGGGCAUCCACGGCCACCCCGCUCUUUGUCCGGCUCUUCCGCGUUGCGCGGGGUUGUUUUUACGCCGAGGUUUAGGUAGGUGGAGGAGGAAAGGAGGAGAGUUUAUGCACGAGGUUACCUGGCUCUCGGGUCACUCUGUCUGUGUGUCCCCGUGCAGCCCCAGGUCACGGCUGGCAGCUGCUCCUGGCAGUGCUGGGGGGGAGUUAAAGGUGAAGGAAGUGGGUGCCCGUGGAAGGUUGUCCUGAGGCUGCAAUGGGGAGACAACAGGGCAUGCUCAGGGGUGGCCGUGCCCUCCUCUCGCAGCCCCCAUCUCCUUGCAGAGCAGCUGGCCUGCUUGGGCGUUGGUGUUGCAUGAGCUGGGGCUGGCAGGGCUGUGUGGGAGAGGGGCUCUCACAGCCCUCAGCCCUGUUUUAGGCAGUGCUCUGCCUGCAGGCAGGUGCUGAGGGCGCUGGUGGAACCGUGCAUGUGUCUGAUGUAAAGCUGGGCUACACAUCCAGGAAUAAUCAAUCCCUCUGGGAUGGAGAGGCUUGGUUUAGCCUGGCAGGAUGGGAUGGAGGUUUAGGUGUGCAGGAGCUGCUCGCCCCAGCUGGCUGAAGGUGGCCCAGGGGCUGGGCUGGGGUCGGGGAGGCUGCAGGCUGCCUGCCCUCCUCCGCACUCCCCCUGGAAGUGAUGGGUGUGCAGGGUUUGCUGAGCAGCUAAUUACCCUCUCCUUUGGUAAUCCAGCUUUCCACAGGGUCAGGAGAGCUGCUGCUGCCAGGUGUGUGUGCUGUGCCAGUGGGAGGCUGCAGAGAGCCCUGGACCUGUAGCUCCUCAGACAGAGAGCUGUGCCAUUGCUGUACCAUUGCUGUGCCAGCUCAGCAGGGACCCUUCCUGUUCCAGUAGCCUGACCAGGGAUCCUGGAAUCCAUGUGUGGCUCUGCAGCCACAGGAGGUGGUUUUUCCCUCUUUCCACGAGCAGGAGUUGAUUUCCCACCUGACCCUGUGGUUCGGGACUUUGAGGAGAUGAUCUCAUAGAGCUGAACCAGUUGGACCAGUGGGCGAGGACUGGUGCCUGGCCUCGAUGCAGUGGGGGUGGUGAGGCAGCUGUGUCACCGGGAGAGGAGGACACGGGCAGGACGUGCCAGGCUCCAGCACUCACAGGGCUCUGCUGCAGCAGCUCCAGCCCAGGACAGCCGUGAGCAGCUCCUGCACUCAAC